RNAcentral lists this ribosomal RNA (467 nucleotides) under uncultured bacterium. Its description in RNAcentral is "partial 16S ribosomal RNA". It matches the Rfam family "Bacterial small subunit ribosomal RNA", at positions 29 to 507 of the family's 1533-position model. The record is from RNAcentral.
ACGAACGCUGGCGGCGUGCUUAACACCUGCAAGUCGAACGGAAAGGCCCUGCUUUUGUGGGGUGCUCGAGUGGCGAACGGGUGAGUAACACGUGAGUAACCUGCCCUUGACUUUGGGAUAACUUCAGGAAACUGGGGCUAAUACCGGAUAGGAGCUCCUGCUGCAUGGUGGGGGUUGGAAAGUUUCGGCGGUUGGGGAUGGACCCGCGGCUUAUCAGCUUGUUGGUGGGGUAGUGGCUUACCAAGGCUUUGACGGGUAGCCGGCCUGAGAGGGUGACCGGCCACAUUGGGACUGAGAUACGGCCCAGACUCCUACGGGAGGCAGCAGUGGGGAAUAUUGCACAAUGGGCGGAAGCCUGAUGCAGCAACGCCGCGUGCGGGAUGACGGCCUUCGGGUUGUAAACCGCUUUCGCCUGUGACGAAGCGUGAGUGACGGUAAUGGGUAAAGAAGCACCGGCUAACUACGUG